This 303-nucleotide long non-coding RNA is filed under the name Nicotiana benthamiana. RNAcentral describes it as "long non-coding RNA (NBEN_LNC014328)". The record is from RNAcentral. Lineage: Eukaryota; Viridiplantae; Streptophyta; Magnoliopsida; Solanales; Solanaceae.
CCGAUAUGUAGUCUUUCAUGAAUCUACUUAUCCUUUUGCCUCAUAUUUAUCUAUUGCCGCUCCUAUUUUUCCUCGGUCUACUCCAUCACCUACUAAUCAAUCCCCUAUUGUCAUUUCUGUCCCUUCUAAUUCUUUGAUUCCGAAUCUUGAACCUGCUCCUCUUUUUACCACUAAUUUCCCUAGUUCUACUUCCAUUUCUACUUCUACUUCUCAUUCUUCUUCUAUCUCUAGUCCUCCUCCUAUGGUCUUGGAAACUGCCUUUUGCAGGUCACUCAGGGAGCAUAAAACUCUUUCAUAUCUUUC